CAGGGUGUAGGUUUUAGGGGUCAAUUUGGAAUUAGGAAUCAAAUGUAGUUCAGGGCCUUACAGCUGUCCUUAAUUAGCCAAUGACAUUAGAAGGGUCUGGGAUUUGUUUAAAAGGAGCAACCAAAAAAGCUUGCCAGAUACAGCAUAAGGGAUAUUAUGCUAGGGCUUAUACCAGCCAUUAGUUCUGAUUACUGGGGAGCUUUUGAGGCGCAAAAUGGCCGUGAUGAUUGGAAUCGCUUUUAGAGUUUCUUGGCUUUGUUGCCUGCUAAUUGUCGGGAUAACCUGUUCUACAUCAAGUGAUGGGUAUCCUGCACCAGGUUCUGAUGCAGCAUGGCUCUAUACAGGCCCACUUAGGUCUAAAGGAUAUGGUAAUUACAACUCUCCAACAGCUCAAUUGCAAGCGCAGCUGACCGAAGAGCAACAGAAACAUCUGGCAGCCAUCCUGCAAAAGCAACUGGCCCCCAUGCCCCAGGCACCUCAGAAAAUGUGGUAUCCAACUCAAAUGCCCCAGCAGGAAAAGCAACCGGCCGCCAUGAGCCAACAGCAGACGCUACCGGCCAGUUAUCCUAAGCAGCCUCAAGCAAUGUUUUAUCCAGCUCAAAUACCCCAGAAGCAACCAGUUACUGAACUUCAGCAUCAGAAGGAACAGGCCUCCAUACCCCAGCUACCUCAGCAAGUGUGGUACCCAGUUCAAAUUCCUCAGCAGCAAAAGCAACCAGCUACUGGUCCUCAGCAGCAGACCGAACUGACCACCAUGCCCCAGAAGCAACCGGCUCCAAUGCCUAUACCGCAGAAACGACCAACAGCUAUGCCCCAGAAAGCAUGGUAUCCAGCUCAAAUGCAGCAGAAGCAACCGGCCACCAUGCAGCAGCAAGUGUGGCAUCCAGCUCAAUUGCCCCAGCAGCAAAAGCAACCGGCUACUGAACCUCAGCAGCAGAAGGAACCGGCCUCCAUAACCCAGCAACCUCAGCAAGUGUUGCAUCCAGCUCAAAUGCUGCUGAAGCAACUGACUGCCAUGCCCCAGCAAGUGUGGUAUCCAGCUAAGCCCCAGAAGCAACUGGCCGCUGAUCCUCAGGAGCAGAUUGAACUGACCGCCAUGCCCCAGCAAGCAUGGUAUCCAGCUCAAAUGCCCCAGAAGCAACCAACCGCUGAACCUCAGUGGCAUCCAGCCAAAUUUCCCCAGGAGCAACCCGUCCCUAUGCGUCAACUGCAGACGGAACUGACCUCCAUUCCACCACAACUGUGGCAAUCCGCUCAAAUUCCCCAGCAGCAUAAGCAACCGGCUGCCAAGCUUCAGCAAGUGUGGCAACUGGCCCCCAUUCCCCAGCAGCCUCAUGACGUGUGGUAUCCAGCUAAAAUGGUCCAGAAGCAACAAGCAGCAUCAACUCGGCAGCAGAAGGAACUGACCACCAUGCCUCAAGAGUGGCAUCCAGCUCAAUUUCCCCAGCAGCAGAAGCAACCAGCCCUAAUGCUUUCACCGCAGAAGGAACUGACCGCCAUACACCAGCAACCUCAGCAAGUGUGGUAUCCAGCUAAAAUGCCCCAGAACCAACCAACCACUGAACCCCAGCAGCAGAAGGAACCGGCCACCAUGCCCCAGCAAGCAUGGUAUCCAGCUCAAAAGCCCCAGCUGCAGAAGGAACCGGCCGCUGAACCUCAGCAGCGGAAGCAACCGGCUGCUGAACCUCAGCAGCAGAAGGAACCGGCUGCUGAACCCCAGCAGCAGAAGGAACCGGCCACCAUGCCCCAGCAAGCAUGGUAUCCAGCUCAAAAGCCCCAGCUGCAGAAGGAACCGGCCGCUGAACCUCAGCAGCGGAAGCAACCGGCCGCUGAACCUCAGCAGCAGAAGGAACCGGCCACCAUGCCCCAGCUACCUCAGCAAGUGUGGCACCCAAUGCACAUUCCCCAGCAUCAACAGGAACUGGCCACCAUACCCCAGCAAGUGAGGUAUCCAGCUCAAAUGCCCCAGAAGCAUCUGGCCUUCAUGCCUCUACCACAGAAGCAACCAACCGCCAUGCCCCAGCAAGAGUGGCAUCCAGCUCAAAUGCCCCAGCAGCAGAAACUGGCCACCAUGCUGCAGAAGCAACCAGCCCCAAUGCCUCAACCGCAGAAGCAACAGGCCACCAUGCCCCCGCAAGUAUGGCAUCCAGCUCAAAUGCCUCAGCAGCAAAAGCAACCAGCUACUGAACCUCAGCAGCAAAUUGAACCGACCGCCAUGCCCCAGCCACCUCAGCAAUUGUGGCAUCCAGAUCAAUUUCUCCAGGAGCAGAAGCAACCAUUCACUAUGCAUCUACCGCAGAAGGAACUGACCGCCAAUCCACCACAACUGUGGCAAUCCGCUCAAAUGCCCCAGCAGCAUAAGCAGCCGGCUGCCAUGAUUCAGCAAGUGUGGCAUCGGGCACAGAAGCAACCGGCCCCUAUGCCCCAACAGCCUCACGACGUGUGGUAUCCAGCUAAAAUGGUCCAGAAGCAAGUCGCUGCGGUGACCGCCAUGCCGCAUACGCAUCAGCAAGUAUGGCAUCCAGCUGAAUUUCCCCAGCAGCAGAAGCAACCGGCCUCCACGCCUCUACCGCAGGAGCAACCGACCGCCGUACCCCAGCAAGUGUGGUAUCCAGCUCAAAUGUCACGGCAGCAACUGACCUCCAUGCCUCUACCGCAGAAGCGACUGACCGACGUGCCUCAGCAAGAGUGGCAACCAGCUCAAAUACCGCAGAAGCAACCGGCUGCUGAACCGCAGCAGAACGAACCGGCCACCAUACCCCAGCAAGUGGGGUAUCCAGCUCAAAUGUCCCAGCAGCGGAAGCAACACACUGCCAUGCCACAGCACCAACUGACCCCCAUGCCUCAGCAAUUAUGGCAUGUAGCUCAAAUGCCCCAGAAGCAACUGGCCCCAAUGUCUCAGCAGAAUCACUACGAAACCACUGAAGAUGGUGAACAGACAGGUGUCAUCCCAAUCUAUUCCUACAGUUCCAAAUCGCACUACGAGAAUGGCAGGACUGUAUUCUCCCUAACCCGCUACACUCCUAGGGAGGCUAUGCUUGUUCACAUUGGAAAUGCUCCCAAGGACAGUUUUGUUCGUACUGGUGCACCAAGCGUAUAUCCAUCACUAGUGAAAGAUUCUGCAAGGUAAUGGUUCACUUUAACCUGCUCUGAACUUUGCUCUCUGAAUUUGAAGUCCUUUGUACUAACCAUAUCUUUCAACAAGAAAAUGUAAUGGAUUCAUCCUCUAGAAGCUAAUGGUGAGAAUUGUUUUUGACAUUGGUUACUUAACAUUCUGUGUUGCUGACACUGCAUUUCUUUCUGCUUUUGUUUCGACCAGGAAGUGUCUGGUGCUCUUGCUACUCUAGCGUGAGGGAGUACAUGAACAGUUCUUCUUUAAAAAAAUGCCCUGUCUCUGUGAAAUAGUGGUUCUUGUGUCCAUUGCUUGCUAAUUGAGAACAGGUGGUGUGCAGUCUGUAGUAAAAAUGACUGCUCAGUUAAUUCUUUGGUUUUCUAGUCUUUUACCUUUGCUACUGGUUGUUCAAAAUAAAAGCUUGGGUCUACAUUUGUCAAGGGGUGAGUUGUCAGACCUUCUUCAUAUGUUCAUACUUUAGAUGUAGGCAUGCAUUGUAUACAGUGAGACUGUCUUCAACCUCAGUAAGCUAACAUAUAGGGAAUGGUUUUUAGAUGGUCAGACCAUGGCUCAUUUAGCUACUAGAAUUGAGUGACCAUUUGGUUUCAAACUUGCAUUUGGCCUUAUACUAUAGCCCAUACCACAAAUGGCAAAGAGUCAAAUCAGUUUAGGAGUGUCUGUUCCAUAUCUAGCUGAAUCAAAUGUUAUUGUUGAUGCUUCUACCUCCAUACUUCUGUUUGUAUGGGUUACCUGUCUUACAAUUGUGGGGUCAUAGAGGGAAACGUAACUAUGUUCGGGAGUCAAUUUCCCAUAAUGGUCAGUUUGUAGGCCAAACCGUUCUGAAGCUAUAGAUGUUUUUGAGACUGCAUUUUUUGGGUGUCAGACCAACACCACUGUAGCUCGGCCCCUGUCCACCGCAGAUGCAACGGGCGGCUGCAGUGUCUUGAGACGCAGCCCAUUCAAAAUGUUCUAGCUUCAACUGGAUUUUGAUGGGCCUUUUACUUUGACUGCCUCAAUACUCUUCAGCUGUAGCCCAUUCCUCCUAGUCCAUUUAUUGUACCACAGGCUCCUGUGUAUUUGGUAUCUACAAUGCCUGGAACGGUUUAACCGCUCAAUUAACAAAUAAAUUCUGUAUAGACUGUCUUUAAACAUGCACAUUUUUCUUAACCAAUCAAUCGAACUGCGUAGUAUGAGAAUUAGGCCCUUUAAUGGAUCCAUUAAGUUCCAAAGCGGAAGCUGGUAGGCACUAACAUGACAGUUUAGCUAGCAUAAGAUGUCACCCAGGACUUUUGGACAACUUGACAUAUUUGCCUGUUGUAGUUGACUGUUUGGCCAGACUCAUGAACAUGAAUGAAAUUGUAUAUGCAUUGAAUUUUCAACAAGAAGUUAGUUUACUGUUGGACAAUCUCUUGUCUAGUGUACGUCAACAGACAACUUCAUUUAAUUUGUCACAGUAUGGAAUUUUUGGACACGAUCUCAAUGUGUGUGCAACCUUUUUGCACAACACAUUUCUACCGGACCACUGAGGUUGCAC
This is a long non-coding RNA of Oncorhynchus tshawytscha (Chinook salmon), 4646 nucleotides long. The record is from Ensembl. NCBI's taxonomy places the organism in Eukaryota, Metazoa, Chordata, Actinopteri, Salmoniformes, Salmonidae.